Molecule: ribosomal RNA, 253 nt
Filed under: uncultured bacterium
Lineage: Bacteria
Description: partial 16S ribosomal RNA
Rfam family: Bacterial small subunit ribosomal RNA
Source: RNAcentral
UACGUAGGGUGCAAGCGUUGUCCGGAAUUAUUGGGCGUAAAGAGCUCGUAGGCGGUUUGUCGCGUCUGCUGUGAAAACUCGGGGCUUAACUCCGGGCCUGCAGUGGGUACGGGCAGACUAGAGUGCGGUAGGGGAGACUGGAAUUCCUGGUGUAGCGGUGAAAUGCGCAGAUAUCAGGAGGAACACCGGUGGCGAAGGCGGCAUCCUGGACCGGUAUUGACACUGAGGCGCGAAAGCCAGGGGAGCAAACGGG